This 215-nucleotide non-coding RNA is filed under the name Desulforamulus aeronauticus. RNAcentral describes it as "Desulfotomaculum aeronauticum T-box sequence". It matches the Rfam family "T-box leader". Rfam says of the family: Uncharged tRNA acts as the effector for transcription antitermination of genes in the T-box leader family. T-boxes are found upstream of many aminoacyl-tRNA synthetase genes and some amino acid biosynthetic genes usually in Gram-positive bacteria. Lineage: Bacteria; Bacillati; Bacillota; Clostridia; Eubacteriales; Peptococcaceae. The record is from RNAcentral.
UAUUUUGCUAUGAAAAGGAAAAGUACUUCAGUAUACUCGUCCAGAGAGGAAAUGCCGUAGGCUGUAAGCAUUUCCCGAUGUGGCUGAAUGAAAAACCACCUUGGAGCAGCUUGUUGAAAUGAAGUAUGCAAGCCGGAGAGACACCGUUACUGUCGUUAGAGGUGGGAGUGUAAACUCCAACCAGGGUGGAACCGCGGAAACAUCCCGUCCCUGAU